This 422-nucleotide ribosomal RNA is filed under the name uncultured bacterium. RNAcentral describes it as "bacterial SSU rRNA". It matches the Rfam family "Bacterial small subunit ribosomal RNA", at positions 8 to 438 of the family's 1533-position model. The record is from RNAcentral.
AGAGUUUGAUCCUGGCUCAGGAUGAACGCUGGCGGCGUGCUUAACACAUGCAAGUCGAACGGUCUUAGCAAUAGGACAGUGGCGCACGGGUGAGGAACACGUAGCUUAUCUGCCCAGAAGCGCGGGAUAACGCCCCGAAAGGGGUGCUAAUACCGCAUAAGCUCCCGCCCUACAGAGGGGUGGGAGAAAAGGGGCAACCCACUUUUGGAGGAGGCUGCGGCCCAUCAGGUAGUUGGUGAGGUAACGGCCCACCAAGCCGACGACGGGUAGGGGACCUGAGAGGGUGAUCCCCCACACUGGGACUGAGACACGGCCCAGACUCCUACGGGAGGCAGCAGUGAGGAAUAUUGCCCAAUGGGCGCAAGCCUGAGGCAGCGACGCCGCGUGGGUGAUGAAGGCCUUCGGGUCGUAAAGCCCUUUUC